UUUCCGUAGGUGAACCUGCGGAAGGAUCAUUAAAGUUAUAGUCCCCCGGCCCCUCCGGGCUGGGGUCUUCUAUACCACCCUUUGUUUAUUACACCUUUGUUGCUUUGGCAGGCCUGCCCUCGGGCUGCUGGCUCCGGCCGGCUCGUGCCCGCCAGAGGACCCAAACUCUGUUUGUAUAUGAAGUCUGAGUACUAUAUAAUAGUUAAAACUUUCAACAACGGAUCUCUUGGUUCUG
Molecule: unclassified non-coding RNA, 235 nt
Filed under: plant metagenome
Description: partial contains small subunit ribosomal RNA, internal transcribed spacer 1, and 5.8S ribosomal RNA
Source: RNAcentral